RNAcentral lists this long non-coding RNA (2929 nucleotides) under Mus musculus (house mouse). Its description in RNAcentral is "long non-coding RNA chr5:65623934-65626863". The record is from RNAcentral. Lineage: Eukaryota; Metazoa; Chordata; Mammalia; Rodentia; Muridae.
UUCAUCGGGAGACUGGGCGUCUCUGGUUAGCUUGAUAUUCUCUGCCAUCUUUUUCAUGAAUGCAUGGCUGUUGUUUUCAUUCUUUGUCAUUAAGACUUCAAGCAUAAACCACAGGCACCUAAGUAGAAAAUACAUUAAAAAGGAUAAAUGAAGAUGAUUUUUUUUUCUCAAUGGAUUAAGUCUUCAAUGAAAAGUUUGGCUGUCAGCAUAAAGGAAUAUCAAAACAGUAAUAUACAAUUUUAUUAAUGGUAUCAAUUUUAAGUAUUUUUUUUAAAGAUAUGGUCUCUUGUAACACAAGCUGGCUCAUUGUGUAGUUCGAACUCAUCUUUCACUGAGUGUUAGGAUUACAGGUAUACUAUAUCUGGCUCAAGAGGAAAAAGUCAAAAAAUAUUUAAAAUAAAGCUGCUUGGUUUUUGUCCAGUUCCCAGAAUGAUUUACAUAUAAGAGCACCUGCUUUUCACCUCUGGAAGGGUAGAAUGAAUUUGGUAAAAUUAUGUGAGGGCCUAGGCAGAAAGCCUUAAGUUUCUUCUCACAAGCCAGGCAUGAUGGUACACACCUAAAAGGUGCAGAGUCAUGGUCAUCCUCACUACACAGCUGAUAGGAGCCCAGGCUGGGCUAAAACUAAGCUAGUUUAAGAGUGCACAGGUCAAAGUGUGAAGUUGGCAGAGUUCUAUUUAGAUGAGAAUGGACUGUAAACAAACUAGUGGAGCAGAAAGGGCAACAAACACAAAUCACCCUCUACCAGAUUUCAUCCAUCAAGAAUUUCUAGAGAGAUCCCAUACCUCAAGGUUACAAUAAAACCAUGGAGUCACUAUAAAACUUGGUCUGACUUUACACUUCUAUAAAACACAAGUGACAAACAUAGCCAGCCUCAUGCAUGCAACUGUGUGUGAAAGCAGCAUUAUUUGAACAAGUACAGUUGAACUGAGCUGCGGUGACAACGCUGGAGGAGUGCACUGCAUAAGGCUGAGGCACCCAGUAUGCUAAAGUAGACAGUUACUAAUUCCAUUAAUUCUCUGGGGUUCAGAAUCCUCUAUCCUAUUAACUCCUAAGAGUCCUGAUCCUUUUACAAAGACCAACAGCAUAAGAAUUAUUGUUAGAAAGGAGAUGAUGAGGAAGUAUUCUCUCUGCCGUAAGAGUAUGAGACUUAUUCCUUUUACAAGGUUUUUUUCUUUCUAUUUUCUUUUCUUUUUCUUUAAAAAAAAAGGGGGGGGGAGGUAAGAUUUUAAAUAUGGGAUGGAGAGAUGGCUCAGUGGUUAAGAGCACUGACUGCUCUUCUGGAGGUCCUGAAUUUAAUUCCCAAUAACCACAUGGGUGGUUCACAACCAUCCGUAAUGAGAUCUGAUGUCCUCUUCUGGUGUGUCUGAAGAGAGCAAUGGUGCACUCAAAUACAUCAAACAAAUAAAUAAAUCUUUAAAAAAAUUAAAAUAUAGCCAGGUAUUGGUGGUGCACACCUUUAGUCCUAGCACUUGGGAGGUAAAGGCAGGCAGAUGUUUGAGUUCAAGGCUAGCCUGGUCCAGAGAAACAAUGUCUCAGUAAAAUAGAGAGAGAGAGAGAGACAGAGACAGAGACAGACAGACAGACAGACAUGAAGGAAACCUCUGUAACAAUCUAGUAUAGAUUUAUACUUCAAAUUGAAAAUGCUAAUAAGGUCUAGUAUAAAAAAGUAUAUAUACUUUGCAUAUAUGUAUAUAAAAUAUAUAAAACAUAUGGACAGGUUAAUUUUUUUGUGUAAAGUUAGAAUAUGUUGAAAACUUAAAUGUCAUUUGCACAUGUAUGUUUUGCUUGUUUUUAGUUUUCUGAGAUAGUAUCUUGUUCAGAAUGGCUUAGAAUUCUAUUUUUUUGUUUUUUGUUUAUUGAGACAGGGUUUCUCUGUGUAGUCCUUGCUAUCCUGGAACUCACUCUGCAGACCAGGUUGAACUCAAAGGCAGAAAUCUGCCUGCCUCUGUCUCUCAAGUGUUGGGAUUAAAGGCGUGUGCCACCACUGCCUGGCGGCUUUGUUUGAACUCUUAACCCCAAUGCCUCAGCAUUAUUAUUGUAUUUAUUGUAUUCCUCAAAGCACAUUUUUCUUAACAAAUCUUUUCACUGAGUUCCCUAAAAUAUAUGAUUUUGAGAAACUAAUGGUCCCACCAUGCUUUGUUUCAACUCACAAGCCACUGGGAUUAUCGGCCUCCAAUACCAGCUACAAGGAGCCAAAACUUUUUUUUUAAAUGUAGGUUUAAUUUCAUACUUUUUACAAAUGGAGGAACUAUCACUAUGGUGACAACACUGAACAGAUGAUGAACAGGCCAAUGCUUAAGGGUAAUAUAGAACAUCUUUUCUGUUAAAAUUUUGACAGCAUUUAAGUGACCAAAGUGGUAAGAGACAGAUGAAUGUCCAGUUCAAUUUAGGAGUAAGAUUUGCUUACUGACGUAGAAAAAUGUAAUACAAACAAAUGAUACUAAUUUACAAAUGCAAAACAAAAUAUAGCAAUGGUCCUACACAGAAGUGGCUCAAUGUUUAAGGGAAAUGGUUGUAGGUACAUACUGGAAUCCUUGGUUUGGGUGGGGCUGGGGCUCUAACUCAGAGCCCCAUGCAUACUAUGUAAAGUACCAACUGAGCCAUAUCCACAGUACUAAAGAUUAUUGUUAAGGAAAGAUGUGGUUCUAUUAAAAAAAAAGUUAUACAAAUGAAUAAAUUAAAUUCUUUUUUUUUUUUUUUUUUUAAAAGAUUUAUUUAUUUAUUAUAUGUAAGUACACUGUAGCUGGGAGUCAGAUCUCAUUACAGAUGGUUGUGAGCCACCAUGUGGUUGCUGGGAUUUGAACUCCAGACCUUUGGAAGAGCAGUUGGGUGCUCUUACCCACUGAGCCAUCUCACCAGCCCAUAAAUUAAAUUCUUAAUCCAUGAGGAGAAAUUUUCAUCAGUUUUAUAAAUUACCAAACUCAAAGGC